RNAcentral lists this long non-coding RNA (2552 nucleotides) under Lytechinus variegatus (green sea urchin). Its description in RNAcentral is "uncharacterized LOC121415122". The record is from RNAcentral. Lineage: Eukaryota; Metazoa; Echinodermata; Echinoidea; Temnopleuroida; Toxopneustidae.
UCAUGUUCUUGCAUAGGGAGCUACAUAUGAGACAUGAAUUUGAAAUGUUUUUGUGUCAUAUGAUAUUUUAUGGUGUUUGUAAACUCUUUUCUCGCUUACAUGUACAUCAUGCCAUGCUUUGUUUGAUGGCCCUGGACUGAUUUUGUCUUGUAAACAAGGAGGAUGCCCAACGAGGGAACGUCAGUGGUGGGCAAGAAGUGGCUUCCACUAGCAGCUCCCAUGAGAUCAAUUCUGACAGCAUAAGUAAAUGGAUCUUCAAAGUGCUUCAAUGUGAAGGAUAUUAUCCAAAGGCAUCCCCGUGGGAAAGAAAAAGAUGAAGAGUAUAACACAAACUCGACGAUAACGACAGAAACCAGAUGCCUUCUGACAACUUUUGUGUUUGCGGAAAUAGUCAAGAUUUUCACCUAGCGAGAUAGCACUAUUCUCAUUCAUCAUGGCAAUAUACAUGGUUCCAGCUCAGACAGCAAGAAGGAAGAGUUCACUGGCAGACUCCAUGGGAUACUUUUUGGUGACUAGACCAAUCAGUACAAGUGUGGAAUCCCACCUGGCUGAAGAGAGGAAUGACAAGAAGCGGAGACGACCAUACCAUUUGGGCAUAGGAGAACGCAACUACUCAUCUCAGUUUUUCAUUGUUGUGGAUGAUCUAGCUAUCCCCUGUGAAGGUGACAUCACAGAGGCUGUUGACAAACUGUUUAAGGUCCAAUUCUUGUUCAACAUCCACUACGCAGAUGAAGUCUAUGGAUUUUUUCCGAGGAUUUUUUGCAUUCAUACAGAACUUUGUUUACGGCAUAAGUGAACAAGAAGCAGUUCCAGCCCAUGCCAGAGAAAUGAUGGCAAGCAUCACUGCCUUGGAAGUGAAUGCAAACAAAUGACUGACUUCAGUAUUGCCUGUCCUCAAACGAGCGUAAUUAACUCAAGAGGGUGUGGAGGUCACAUGGUAGGAUCAAAGAUCGUUUGUAUUCAUGAAGUGCUGGCUGAUAUUUUUUCUGUUCCCACUUGGAACAUUCUUCCCUGUUUAAGUUGAUAGAGGAUGUUCACUUUUUAAAUGUGAACAAUUCUAUAAUCAAUGGAAGAUCACUGUUGAAUAAAUUUGGGUUUAUUCAUCCUCGAAUAUUCCAGGAUAUUCUCAUAUUUUUAAAAGAAAAAAAUCUUGGUCAGUACUGUAUGUUAAAUAAAUUUACCUUGAACACAUCUCUUACAGUGCAUAUAUAAAAAAUAACCCUUUUGAAAAUAAUUUUCACAAUCACAUUUGAAAAUAUGAAGAUGAUUUUUUUUAAUGGCUUUUGGUACUCUAUAGUCUCUUCUAUCAAAUGCUGCUUGAGCGAGCGGUGACCAUUUUUGUCCAGAGUGUCAAAAAGUGCUUUGCGCCAAAAUUGAAAGAAAAGGAAAAAUUAAUUUAGCAGUCUGGUUAGGAUUCAUACUCAAAUCACUUGCUCUUUUGCGUACAUUUAUGAUCAUUUUAGAAAUGGAUAACUUUCCUAACCUUGGAAGAAUGGGGGGGGGGUGUUUAAUUGAAAUGAUAACUUCAUUUUAGGGGGAGGGUGUCCCACUUCUGACAAAGCCUGAUCCGGGAAUAGGUGUUCACGACUGCAUUGUGCAAUUAUCCUGGUGUCUCGGUAUUCAGAAGGGUGGUGAAGUUCGAUUUCUAAUAGGUAUCUUAGAUUUGGAGGUAAUCUGUGAUAGCAGUGAUAAAUGUUCUUGCUAUUGUUGGGGGGAGGGUCCCACUUCAAUUUUCCAUAUUUAUGAUCCCACAGUUCAUAGCCAGGGAAUAGAUCACAACUGCAUUGUGCGACCCUAGGUCUCUCUUGAAGUAUGAUUUCAUUCAUGAAAGUACCCACCAAUAAAUAGACAAUGUCAAGCUGAUAAUAUAAAUAAAAUUAAUUGAACUUACUACUUUUUCUUUCUUGGUAUGUACAUACCUUCUUUAACAACCAAGCAGUAAUCAGGGAUAUUUCAUAAACAUGAAGAUGUUAUAGUGUUUUAGCAAACAUUGUCCUAGACACCAUGGAGUAAGGAUCUUUAUUUCACUCAUAUUUUCAUUACAAAAUAUUCGCUAUUACAGUAAUCAAGGGCAGGUAAUGAUAGAUUAGAUGAUGUAAGAAGAUAAAGAUAGACAAAGAUAGUUUUCAUGGUUUUGGUAAAGAAAACUUUAAAAAUAGAACUUGAUCUACAUUUGAUAGGCUACUAUAUCCAAAGUAUUUCGGAACAAUUUUCAUUUAUACUUUGAACCUAAGUUAGAUAACAAUGCAUACACUAUAUAGAUUUGUUCAGAGGCCCUCUAAACAAGAUGCAGAAACGGUAUAUAAUAAUUAUUUGUAAAGACUGGAACACAAGUUAACAGUGAUUUAUUACAAAAACUGAGUAUGAAUACAUUUGGAAUCAGACGUUAAUAACACCAAUUGUUUUUAUAAACUUGUAAAUGGUAUAUUCAAUUUUAGAAAUAAUCCUCAUCUAUUUAUAAUGCAAUUUUCCUUUCACAGUUUUUAUGUUUAUAUUGUGUGUAAUUAUGUUUAUGUCAUACAUUUUUAUUUUGUUAUCCAGGAAGCAAACCU